GUGCUCGCUCUGGCAGCACGUAUACUAAAAUUGAAACGAUACAGAGAAGAUUAGUGUGGCCCCUGUGCAAGGAUGACAUGCAAAUUUGUGAAGCUUUCCAUAUUUUU
This is a small nuclear RNA of Dasypus novemcinctus (nine-banded armadillo), 107 nucleotides long. Lineage: Eukaryota; Metazoa; Chordata; Mammalia; Cingulata; Dasypodidae. The record is from Ensembl.